This 68-nucleotide transfer RNA is filed under the name Ctenophorus parviceps (Gnaraloo heath dragon). RNAcentral's name for it is "tRNA-Ala". It matches the Rfam family "tRNA". From Rfam's summary of the family: Transfer RNA (tRNA) molecules are approximately 80 nucleotides in length. Their secondary structure includes four short double-helical elements and three loops (D, anti-codon, and T loops). The record is from RNAcentral. Lineage: Eukaryota; Metazoa; Chordata; Lepidosauria; Squamata; Agamidae.
UGAGGCCUUAGUUUAAUUAAAAUGUCUGAUUUGCAUUCAGGAGAUGUAGAUAGAUUCUAUAGGUUUUA